Dromaius novaehollandiae (emu) is the source of this 903-nucleotide long non-coding RNA. RefSeq lists it as uncharacterized. Lineage: Eukaryota; Metazoa; Chordata; Aves; Casuariiformes; Dromaiidae. The transcript has 2 exons. The record is from RefSeq and is a predicted model, not a curated record.
GUGGGAACGGAGGCAAUCGGCUGCUGCAGCUCGGUUGCAAAAGAGGCUCCUCUGUGUCAGGAGAAUCCACAUCCCCCCAAAUUAUCACCGGGUUUUGUUGCUUACGUGCUGGGGACGCAGCGCAAAAGCACACGCUGGGGCAGCAAACUUGGCCUAAAGAGUUAAGGGCGAUUUCUUCCAGCUUUCUGAAGGUUCCUCUGUGAAACAACAGGGGGAGAUUUCAAGGUAUUUCGGUGUGUUGGUGGCAGUAUUUUGUGACCGUAGGCCAGAGGGGUUCAGCGGGAUCUGCCCGCAGCAGCAGGACUCCACGUGGACCCUGGGAUGUGCCGUACAUGGAGCAGAUUAGAGGACCAAGGCCACGUUCUGGCUUGCAGAUAGUGCCGUGCUGGGAAAAGGUCGCCUCGAGUCCGCAAGCAGGGAGCCUAAAAUAUCCUGUUUCUGUUUCACUGCCUGAGAGCCCUGAAAGAGAAAGCAGAACAAAGAGCGCGCUCUUCACGUCAGAUGCGUCGUUAUCCUUUUCGGUCAAGCUGCAGACUUCAUUCUUGAUUUCCUGCGUGCUGAUGUAAGAUGUAUCACACAAUUGUCAAGACAGUGCAAAAUGCCCUCCAAAACCUGCACGAUGGGACAAACUUUCGGGUCCUGAGUCUGCAAGAGUUUAAUCCAUGCUUAAAUUGAUGCGUUGUCAACAGUCUUGUAGCAACAGGACUUUCAAAUUACAUAUUCACAUGUAACCCAACAUAGGAACAGAAAGGAGCAGUUUCCCAGCUGGUAACAUUAGCUUCAAUAUCCCUCUUUACAAUAUAUGCAGUACUUCGGGUAUUUGAAUACUCACUGCAUUAAAUACUAAAUGAUUGCAGUAGGACACUGUAUAAAAAAGGCUGAUACUGUUUUGUGCUUCAUUUA